Molecule: ribosomal RNA, 285 nt
Filed under: uncultured archaeon SYA_2000_58
Lineage: Archaea
Description: partial 16S ribosomal RNA
Rfam family: Archaeal small subunit ribosomal RNA
Source: RNAcentral
GUAGCUGGCUGUAUCCGUCCCCCGUUAAAUCCAGCGUCCUAAGCGUUGGACCGCGGGUGAUGCCAUACAGCUAGAGGGUGGGAUAGGUGAGCGGUAUUUCUGGGGUAGGGGCGAAAUCCUUUCAUCCCAGGAGGACCACCAGUGGCGAAGGCUGCUCACUAGAACACGCCUGACGGUCAGGGACGAAAGCUGGGGCAGCGAACCGGAUUAGAUACCCGGGUAGUCCCAGCUGUAAACGAUGCUAGCUAGGUGUUGGGUCGGCCACCUCGCCGCCCCAGUGCCGCA